AACCUUGUAGCACAGUGGGUCGGUGUGCCUGGCUGUUAAUCAGAAGGUUGGUGGUUUGAGCCCACCCAGGGAUG
RNAcentral lists this transfer RNA (74 nucleotides) under Podarcis lilfordi (Lilford's wall lizard). It matches the Rfam family "tRNA". Rfam says of the family: Transfer RNA (tRNA) molecules are approximately 80 nucleotides in length. Their secondary structure includes four short double-helical elements and three loops (D, anti-codon, and T loops). The record is from Rfam by way of RNAcentral. Lineage: Eukaryota; Metazoa; Chordata; Lepidosauria; Squamata; Lacertidae.